AUUGAACGCUGGCGGCAUGCCUUACACAUGCAAGUCGAACGGCAGCAUGAUCUAGCUUGCUAGAUUGAUGGCGAGUGGCGAACGGGUGAGUAAUACAUCGGAACGUGCCCUGUAGUGGGGGAUAACUAGUAGAAAGAUUAGCUAAUACCGCAUACGACCUGAGGGUGAAAGUGGGGGACCGCAAGGCCUCAUGCUAUAGGAGCGGCCGAUGUCUGAUUAGCUAGUUGGUGAGGUAAAGGCUCACCAAGGCGACGAUCAGUAGCUGGUCUGAGAGGACGAUCAGCCACACUGGGACUGAGACACGGCCCAGACUCCUACGGGAGGCAGCAGUGGGGAAUUUUGGACAAUGGGCGAAAGCCUGAUCCAGCAAUGCCGCGUGUGUGAAGAAGGCCUUCGGGUUGUAAAGCACUUUUGUCCGGAAAGAAAUGGCUCUGGUUAAUACCUGGGGUCGAUGACGGUACCGGAAGAAUAAGGACCGGCUAACUACGUG
RNAcentral lists this ribosomal RNA (490 nucleotides) under uncultured bacterium. RNAcentral describes it as "partial 16S ribosomal RNA". It matches the Rfam family "Bacterial small subunit ribosomal RNA", at positions 30 to 507 of the family's 1533-position model. The record is from RNAcentral.